AUGAGUUUCUGCUAACUAUUUCCAACAUGGAGAUAAAUAACUACGCAAACAAAUUUAUAAAGUUAGACAUCAGACAACAUAGACGAUAAAAGGCAAACAACGGUAAAAGAAAGGAAGAAGGACGCCAUCGGCAUCCCCAAGCGCUUCGCUUGUUUUCUCGCUAUCCGGUGCAUUCUAAGAAAAUUGAGUAGUGUGAUGACUCCAUGCUCGAGUAUGGUAGUCUUGCCUUAAGACUCCAUUGGCUCCAAAGUGCAUAUGCAAAAAGAAAGAAAAGAAAAAAGAGAAUUAGAAGCGAAACAUUAUUUGUUAAAGACAUAUAAAGAUGAGGCAUACAAAAUAAGAUUGCAUCCUUCUUUAAUUUUGGUUCAAUCUACAUAUAAGCAAUUCUAUUUUUUACUGAACAUUGUAAGUACCUUUUAGCUGUUAAUAGAAAAUUAUCCCAAUGAACAAAUCACGCUUAUUUCCUUAAGGCCAUUAAAAUGAGCUAAACUUAAUUCUUAAAGCUAUAAGAGAUUAUGGCAGCAAAAAUUAUACGGUUAUUUAACAAAGACAACUAACAGUUUCAUCUAUAUCAUAAUUAGAAGAUCACACUACAUGUAAUAAAGAUAACAUUAACGCUACAAAUAGGAGGACACGCACACGAUCAGUCAUGAGAAACAGUGAAGAGCUUCUUGUAUUUCACAAACAAGCACACCCCAUAAGCAUGAGUUUCCAAUUAAGAAUCUUAACAAACUAACUAUCAAAGAUCCAUGAAAGUUUUACAAGUUGGUGUUUCAGGCACAAACAUGGUAACAAUGUAAGAAAGAUUCACAAGCUGGCAUUUCAGACAUAAAACACGAAGGGGAUAAAUGUUCAUAUGUUUAGGCCAAACAAUAACAGCAAGUGCGAUCCUUAGAUAAGUCUAUAUGAUGGCGAGAUUUCAACGAGACUAAACACUGUUAUUUAAUGGUCAUUUAGCUUAGAUCUUUACUAAGUUAUAACAUGAAGAGAACCUUAUGUCAAAAUCUUUAGUAGAUAUUUUGUUCAGAAAACCAAACUAACUUAUAGCCACAUUUUCUAUACUUCAAUCACACCAUCUUAAGAAAAGAGCUCGAAAACCAGUUCCGUUAAAACACAUAUGAAAUUCUCCAGUUAUAACAGGUCACUAACAGGUGCAAACACUAUAAACUAGCCUUCAGCCUAGUGUAACAAUAAGAGAGGAUCACAACUUGGCUUGAGUUGUAUUAUUUGCUUUCGACAGUAACUAAAAGGGACUGAUUGCGACUAGUUCAGAGCUAAUUAAAUUUUAUAAGCAUGGUCUCUAAGUUUCAAGCAAAAUCUAAGCCCGGGCGUCCUUAUAAUAAGGAAAUAUACAUCAGUUAACCUAUAAAAGUUGUUUCUUUUACAACAGAGCAUACGAGCCUUUCAUCCAUAUUAACUAAUCAGAAAUCGACAAGAAACACCCCAGAUAAUAAAUCAAAUAACAAAAAAAAUUAAGAGCUUAUUGCCAACUAGAUACUGAAACAUUAAAACACUAAAAUUCCAGAAACGAAACAAGAAGAAAGAUACCGACCUUUUGCGGCGCAGUGAACUGAGGCGCGGAUCUUAGAUGCACUAUUGAGCUCCGACCUCGAACCCGCUUCUACAAACAAUUUUAGAGUAGUAAAAGUAUAAGCUUCUGAAUGGCGGCCGAAGCUUAAGGAUUUUUUAACGGAGAGGUACGGCUGAAGCUGUCACCUUUGGGGGUCAAAGUGGGUGGCUCUGAUCUUAAGGUUAAAGGAGGGGGCUGAAGCUUUUAUGAAAUUUGUAGCUAAACGAAUAGUAAAAUUUGAGGGGUAAAGUGGUGGCCGGAAAAACCUCUCUCAAAUGAAUUUCAGAGCUGGUAUUUAUAGAUAGAAGUUAGGGUUCUUGAGAGGGAUUUUUCAAAUUCAGAUUUUGAAUUUCGGUCAACAUACCCUUUGAAUUUGAACGUUAGGGAUUUUGGACAGACUUUGCAGACUUCACGUGAUCUUAGAAGAGGGACAAAAGUCUUACUCGAAUCGGAACGUCAAAGCUCUGCCAUGGCUUAUGCAGAUGCUGAACUUUCACCAAAGAGGAAGAUAGGUGUUAGACCCCUAACAAAGCUGAUCGGCAAGCGGUACGGCAGUGGCGAGGAUUUUGGCAUGAUGGCUUUGCCAUUGGCCUAUGUGUGGAGGAAAAUCAACAUGCAAGACAAUGUGGGGGUGUUGUCAAUGGCAACAAACUGUUGCUAAGACAAGUGAGACGGACUACACUUGUAUUUGAGGGCUAAGGUGUGACGGAUUACACCAAAGCAAGAGUGGGCUGCGUACAAGCAAGGCCAAGACCUUGACGGAACUAGGCGGGCUGGAUGGGAGCUUGACAAG
This 2363-nucleotide long non-coding RNA is filed under the name Nicotiana tabacum (common tobacco). RNAcentral's name for it is "long non-coding RNA (NTAB_LNC007153)". The record is from RNAcentral. Lineage: Eukaryota; Viridiplantae; Streptophyta; Magnoliopsida; Solanales; Solanaceae.